AAAGGCGCAAUGAAAGUAAAGGUCCGCCUCGCGCGGACCGAGGGAGGAUGGGCCUGCCAACAGGCCGGCCCCGCACUCCCGGGGCGUCUCGUUCUCAUCGCGAGAUGAGGCGCACCCAGAGCGUACACGCUGGGACCCGAAAGAUGGUGAACUAUGCCUGGUCAGGACGAAGUCAGGGGAAACCCUGAUGGAGGUCCGUAGCGAUUCUGACGUGCAAAUCGAUCGUCGGAACUGGGUAUAGGGGCGAAAGACUAAUCGAACCUUCUAGUAGCUGGUUCCCUCCGAAGUUUCCCUCAGGAUAGCUGGCGCUCGUAUUGCGAGUCUCAUUCGGUAAAGCGAAUGAUUAGAGGCAUUGGGGUCGAAACGGCCUCAACCUAUUCUCAAACUUUAAAUGGGUGAGAUCUCCGGCUUGCUUAAAGCGUGAAGCCGCGAGAAUCGGAUCAACGAGUGCCAAGUGGGCCACUUUUGGUAAGCAGAACUGGCGCUGUGGGAUGAACCAAACGCCGAGUUAAAGCGCCAAAAUCGACGCUUAUGGGA
This 537-nucleotide ribosomal RNA is filed under the name Onthophagus tragus. RNAcentral describes it as "eukaryotic LSU rRNA". It matches the Rfam family "Eukaryotic large subunit ribosomal RNA", at positions 710 to 1209 of the family's 3401-position model. The record is from RNAcentral. Lineage: Eukaryota; Metazoa; Arthropoda; Insecta; Coleoptera; Scarabaeidae.